This 550-nucleotide ribosomal RNA is filed under the name Arthrobacter sp. RNAcentral describes it as "bacterial SSU rRNA". It matches the Rfam family "Bacterial small subunit ribosomal RNA", at positions 105 to 669 of the family's 1533-position model. Lineage: Bacteria; Bacillati; Actinomycetota; Actinomycetes; Micrococcales; Micrococcaceae. The record is from RNAcentral.
GGUGAGUAACACGUGAGUAACCUGCCCUUAACUCUGGGAUAAGCCUGGGAAACUGGGUCUAAUACCGGAUAGGAGCGCCCACCGCAUGGUGGGUGUUGGAAAGAUUUAUCGGUUUUGGAUGGACUCGCGGCCUAUCAGCUUGUUGGUGAGGUAAUGGCUCACCAAGGCGACGACGGGUAGCCGGCCUGAGAGGGUGACCGGCCACACUGGGACUGAGACACGGCCCAGACUCCUACGGGAGGCAGCAGUGGGGAAUAUUGCACAAUGGGCGAAAGCCUGAUGCAGCGACGCCGCGUGAGGGAUGACGGCCUUCGGGUUGUAAACCUCUUUCAGUAGGGAAGAAGCGAAAGUGACGGUACCUGCAGAAGAAGCACCGGCUAACUACGUGCCAGCAGCCGCGGUAAUACGUAGGGUGCGAGCGUUAUCCGGAAUUAUUGGGCGUAAAGAGCUCGUAGGCGGUUUGUCGCGUCUGUCGUGAAAGUCCGGGGCUUAACCCCGGAUCUGCGGUGGGUACGGGCAGACUAGAGUGCAGUAGGGGAGACUGGAAUUC